AUUGAACGCUGGCGGCAUGCCUUACACAUGCAAGUCGAACGGCAGCGGACCUUCGGGUGCCGGCGAGUGGCGAACGGGUGAGUAAUAUAUCGGAACGUACCUUUCAGUGGGGGAUAACGUAGCGAAAGUUACGCUAAUACCGCAUAUUCUGUGAGCAGGAAAGCAGGGGAUCGCAAGACCUUGCGCUGAUUGAGCGGCCGAUAUCAGAUUAGCUAGUUAGUGAGGUAAGGGCUCACCAAGGCGACGAUCUGUAGCGGGUCUGAGAGGAUGAUCCGCCACACUGGAACUGAGACACGGUCCAGACUCCUACGGGAGGCAGCAGUGGGGAAUUUUGGACAAUGGGCGCAAGCCUGAUCCAGCCAUGCCGCGUGAGUGAAGAAGGCCUUCGGGUUGUAAAGCUCUUUCGGCCGGGAAGAAAUCGCACAGGUUAAUACCCUGUGUGGAUGACGGUACCGGAAUAAGAAGCACCGGCUAACUACGUG
Molecule: ribosomal RNA, 482 nt
Filed under: uncultured bacterium
Lineage: Bacteria
Description: bacterial SSU rRNA
Rfam family: Bacterial small subunit ribosomal RNA
Source: RNAcentral